AAGCCAACGCUUGAAACUUAAAGGACCUGGCGGUACUCUAUAUCAGCCUAGAGGGGCCUGCUCAGUAAUCGAUAAUCCACGAAAAACCUCGCCAUCUCUUGCCAUCAGCCUAUAUACCGCCGUCCUCAGCACAUUUCACAAAAAAUGAAGCUAAAUAGUCUCACACACUAACACGUCAGGUCAAGGUGUAGCUCAUGAGGUGGAUAGCGCGGACCACAAUACCACAACGCACAAAAAUCUUAUUGAAACAUAAGAUGGAAGACGAAUUUAGCAGUAAGCGAAUAGAAUGCCCCGCUGAACCAGACACGCCCUAGAGUACGCACACACCGCCCGUCAUCCCCUUCAAUAAAUAAAAGGGGCAAGUCGUAACAUGGUAAGUGCACCAGAAGGUGUACUUGGAAGACCAAAAAGUAGCUUACACCAAAGCACUCACCCUACAAGUGAAAGCCGUUACAACUAACC
This 462-nucleotide ribosomal RNA is filed under the name Draco maculatus. RNAcentral describes it as "partial small subunit ribosomal RNA". Lineage: Eukaryota; Metazoa; Chordata; Lepidosauria; Squamata; Agamidae. The record is from RNAcentral.